This 389-nucleotide ribosomal RNA is filed under the name uncultured bacterium. RNAcentral describes it as "bacterial SSU rRNA". It matches the Rfam family "Bacterial small subunit ribosomal RNA", at positions 29 to 417 of the family's 1533-position model. The record is from RNAcentral.
AUUGAACGCUGGCGGCACGCCUUACACAUGCAAGUCGAACGGUAACGCGGGGGCAACCCUGGCGACGAGUGGCGAACGGGUGAGUAAUACAUCGGAACGUGUCCUGUUGUGGGGGAUAACCCAUCGAAAGGUGAGCUAAUACCGCAUGAUCUGGAGACAGCAAAGCAGGGGACCGGUAACGGCCUUGCGCGAUUGGAGCGGCCGAUGUCCGAUUAGCUAGUUGGUGGGGUAAAGGCCCACCAAGGCAACGAUCGGUAGCUGGUCUGAGAGGAUGAUCAGCCACACUGGGACUGAGACACGGCCCAGACUCCUACGGGAGGCAGCAGUGGGGAAUUUUGGACAAUGGGGGCAACCCUGAUCCAGCCAUGCCGCGUGAGUGAAGAAGGCCU